CACAGCUCUUCCUGCAGACUCUUUUUUCCCGAGGAUCCUGUUAAGAUUGUCCGGGCCCAAGGGCAGUACAUGUACGAUGAACAGGGGGCAGAAUACAUCGAUUGCAUCAGCAAUGUGGCACACGUUUGGGGGCAGCCCAGUGUCCUGCGCUGUGGGGCUGGCCGUCCUGAAUGUCUUGGAGAAGGAGCAGCUCCAGGAUCAUGCCACCAGUGUAGGCAGCUUCCUGAUGGAGCUCCUCGGGCAGCAAAAAAUCAAACAUCCCAUCGUCGGGGAUGUCAGGUGAGGCUCUGGGGGCCACCUGCCAAGGCCCAGUGUGGUACCAUUUUCUUCACCUCCUAACAACCUGGGAUGGUGGGGUUAUGUCCGCUCUCAAGAGGAACUGAGACACUGAGAGGUG
This 397-nucleotide long non-coding RNA is filed under the name Pan troglodytes (chimpanzee). RNAcentral's name for it is "long non-coding RNA NONPTRT014380". Lineage: Eukaryota; Metazoa; Chordata; Mammalia; Primates; Hominidae. The record is from RNAcentral.